AAUUGGAGGGCAAGUCUGGUGCCAGCAGCCGCGGUAAUUCCAGCUCCAAUAGCGUAUAUUAAAGUUGUUGCAGUUAAAAAGCUCGUAGUUGAAUUUCGGGGUCAGUAGAUUGGUCGUGCCACUGGUAUGUACUGGUCUUACUGGCUCCUCCUUCCUGAUGAACCGUAAUGCCAUUAAUUUGGUGUUGCGGGGAAACUGGACUGUUACUUUGAAAAAAUUAGAGUGUUUAAAGCAGGCUAACGCUUGAAUACAUUAGCAUGGAAUAAUGAAAUAGGACGUUCGAUCUUAUUUUGUUGGUUUCUAGGAUUGACGUAAUGAUUAAUAGGGAUAGUUGGGGGCAUUAGUAUUCAAUUGUCAGAGGUGAAAUUCUUGGAUUUAUUGAAGACUAACUACUGCGAAAGCAUUUGCCAAGGAUGUUUUCAUUAAUCAAGAACGAAAGUUAGGGGAUCGAAGACGAUCAGAUACCGUCGUAGUCUUAACCAUAAACUAUGCCGACUAGGGAUCGGAUGAUGUUAAUUUUUUAAUGACUCAUUCGGCGCCUUACGGGAAACCAAAGUGU
Molecule: ribosomal RNA, 559 nt
Filed under: uncultured Glomus
Lineage: Eukaryota; Fungi; Glomeromycota; Glomeromycetes; Glomerales; Glomeraceae
Description: SSU rRNA
Rfam family: Eukaryotic small subunit ribosomal RNA
Source: RNAcentral